CCUACGGAGGGCAGCAGUGAGGAAUAGUGGUCAAUGGGCGGACGCCUGAACCAGCCAAGUCGCGUGAGGGAUUAAGGCCCUAUGGGUCGUACACCUCUUUUGUCAGGGCGCCAUGGCGUCCACGUGUGGGCGUAUGGAGAGUACCUGAAGAAAAAGCAUCGGCUAACUCCGUGCCAGCAGCCGCGGUAAUACGGAGGAUGCGAGCGUUAUCCGGAUUUAUUGGGUUUAAAGGGUGCGCAGGCGGUCUGUUAAGUCAGCGGUCAAAGCUCGGGGCUCAACCCCGGCCUGCAGUUGAAACUGGCAGUCUCGAGUUGGAGAGAAGUAUGCGGAAUGCGCGGUGUAGCGGUGAAAUGCAUAGAUAUCGCGCAGAACUCCGAUUGCGAAUGCAGCAUGCCGGCUCCACACUGACGCUGAGGCACGAAAGCGUGGGUAUCGAACAGGAUUAGAUACCCUGGUAGUC
RNAcentral lists this ribosomal RNA (460 nucleotides) under uncultured bacterium. RNAcentral describes it as "partial 16S ribosomal RNA". It matches the Rfam family "Bacterial small subunit ribosomal RNA", at positions 338 to 795 of the family's 1533-position model. The record is from RNAcentral.